ACGAACAGCUCAGUAACUCUUAUUUUAUUUGAUGUAUUAGGACUAUAACUAUGUUAAAUUAUAGAUAACAAUAAUACAAUAAGAAUAAGAUCUAUCAGUUAGUUGUUAAGGUAAUGGCUUAACAAGACUAUGACGGAUAACGGUAUUACUUUGUAAUAUUCCGGAGAAGGAGCCUGAGAGAUUGCUACUAAGUCUAAGGAUUGCAGCAGGGGCGAAACUUGACCUAUGAUAUGAUAUUGAGGCAGUUAUGAGUAGUAUUUUAUAAUUAUUGUAGUAUUGUAAGUAUAUGCUACAAGAUAAAUCGGAGGGCAAAUCGAGUGC
This 321-nucleotide ribosomal RNA is filed under the name Nosema granulosis. RNAcentral describes it as "SSU rRNA". It matches the Rfam family "Microsporidia small subunit ribosomal RNA", at positions 79 to 393 of the family's 1311-position model. The record is from RNAcentral. Lineage: Eukaryota; Fungi; Microsporidia; Nosematidae.